This 308-nucleotide ribosomal RNA is filed under the name uncultured bacterium. RNAcentral's name for it is "bacterial SSU rRNA". It matches the Rfam family "Bacterial small subunit ribosomal RNA", at positions 487 to 793 of the family's 1533-position model. The record is from RNAcentral.
GAAACCCCGGCUAACUCCGUGCCAGCAGCCGCGGUAAUACGGAGGGGUUAGCGUUGUUCGGAAUUACUGGGCGUAAAGCGCGCGUAGGCGGAUUAGUCAGUUAGAGGUGAAAUACCCAGGGCUCAACCCUGGAACUGCCUUUAAUUACUGCUAGUCUUGAGUUCGAGAGAGGUGAGUGGAAUUCCGAGUGUAGAGGUGAAAUUCGUAGAUAUUCGGAGGAACACCAGUGGCGAAGGCGGCUCACUGGCUCGAUACUGACGCUGAGGUGCGAAAGUGUGGGGAGCAAACAGGAUUAGAUACCCUGGUAG